Molecule: ribosomal RNA, 105 nt
Filed under: uncultured Sulfurospirillum sp.
Lineage: Bacteria; Pseudomonadati; Campylobacterota; Epsilonproteobacteria; Campylobacterales; Sulfurospirillaceae
Description: partial 16S ribosomal RNA
Rfam family: Bacterial small subunit ribosomal RNA
Source: RNAcentral
GGAGGAUGACGCAUUUCGGUGUGUAAACUCCUUUUAUAAGGGAAGAUAAUGACGGUACCUUAUGANUAAGCACCGGCUAACUCCGAUGCCAGCAGCCNCGGUAAU